UGCGUAGGCGGUCGGGUAAGUUUGAUGUGAAAUCUCUGGGCUUAACCCAGAAAUGGCAUUGAAUACUAUUCGGCUAGAGAGUCGGAGGGGGGACUGGAAUACUUGGUGUAGCAGUGAAAUGCGUAGAUAUCAAGUGGAACACCAGUGGCGAAGGCGAGUCCCUGGACGAUUUCUGACGCUGAGGCACGAAAGCUGGGAGCAAACA
RNAcentral lists this ribosomal RNA (205 nucleotides) under uncultured bacterium. RNAcentral describes it as "partial 16S ribosomal RNA". It matches the Rfam family "Bacterial small subunit ribosomal RNA", at positions 568 to 774 of the family's 1533-position model. The record is from RNAcentral.